RNAcentral lists this long non-coding RNA (648 nucleotides) under Olea europaea subsp. europaea. Lineage: Eukaryota; Viridiplantae; Streptophyta; Magnoliopsida; Lamiales; Oleaceae. The record is from RNAcentral.
UGUUAUUUUACCAAUAUUAUUGUUUGACUAAACUUUUUUAUCAAAUCCCCCUUAUACUACUCUGAUGCAAAAAGCUGGAUGGGAAAAUUAUACCAGGAUCCCGCGUAGCAAUUUUUUCAUUAUCGCAACAACGACGUCCCUUCUAUAAUCAUGCCAGUGGGUCUUAAAGCAUCGGAAGGACUAUAAUUGUUGAUGGUAGGUGUAGGAUAAUCACUUGGUUUCUUGGGGGUGGUAGGAGAUUAUGGCUUAUCGUCAAAGGACUCUGCUAAAGAUUAGGGCUCGAAGAUUUUGGGACGGAGCAUUUUAAGGUGGAAGAUUUCAAUGUCGGUGUUGGCCCAUUGGGGAUGAUGAUUUAGUUGUAGGUGAUGAAGACGGAAAGAUGCUCGACAAGGAAUUGGCAGCCACAGAUCUUGCGACAACAAGGAAAAUGAGUGCAAGAACAAACAACAGAGAUGAGCCAAAUCAAACGAUAGAGAUGGCUAUGAAACAAAAUUAAAAUUUCUGGUGGUGGGAGUUUUGGCUGUAUUUCUGGGUUCUGAUUUUGGGGCUUUCUAAGGUUUUCAAGAUUGUGGAGGUUUUGAACGUGUUAAUUAUGGAGGUGAAAGUUUAAUUAGUUUUAGGGGUAUUAUUCUAAUUUGUUACUUUUUG